RNAcentral lists this ribosomal RNA (1563 nucleotides) under Vampyriscus bidens. Its description in RNAcentral is "Vampyressa bidens partial 16S ribosomal RNA". It matches the Rfam family "Bacterial large subunit ribosomal RNA". Lineage: Eukaryota; Metazoa; Chordata; Mammalia; Chiroptera; Phyllostomidae. The record is from RNAcentral.
CCGUACUUAGCCCCAAACAAACAAAAUACAACUAUAAAUUAAACCUAAGCCAAAACAUUUAGUAUUUUAACAGUAUAGGAGAUAGAAAAUUUUAUUGGCGCUAUAGAGAAAGUACCGCAAGGGAACAAUGAAAGAAAUUACUAAAGCAAUAAACAGCAAAGAUUACCCCUUGUACCUUUUGCAUAAUGAUUUAACUAGACAUACCUUAGCAAAGAGAACUUAAGUUAAUAUACCCGAAACCAGACGAGCUAUUUAUGAGCAGCUUCACAGAGCAAACUCAUCUAUGUGGCAAAAUAGUGAGAAGACUUAUAGAUAGAGGUGAAAAGCCUACCGAGCCUGGUGAUAGCUGGUUGUCCAAUAAAGAAUUUCAGUUCAAACUUAAGCCUACCCCAUAAAACACUAAUUCCACUGUAGACUUAAAGUAUAGUCUGAAGGGGGACAGCCCUCCAGACAAAGGUUAAACCUUAACUAGAGAGUAAGUACAUACAUAUAAUAUAGUGGGCCUAAAAGCAGCCAUCAAUAAAGAAAGCGUUCAAGCUCAACGACUCAAUUAUCUUAAUACCCAUAAUCACUACCAACUCCUAGUAUAUAAAUUGGACUACUCUAUACCUAUAUAGAGGAAAUACUGUUAAUAUGAGUAACAAGAAUUUAAUUCUCCCUAGCACAAGUGUAUAUCAGAACGAAUACUCACUGAUAGUUAACGAAUAUAAAGCAACACAACAAAAUAUAGCCCUUUAUCCAACCCACGUUAGCCCAACACAGGAGUGCCCCAUGGAAAGAUUAAAAGGAGUAAAAGGAACUCGGCAAAUAUAAACCCCGCCUGUUUACCAAAAACAUCACCUCUAGCAUCUCUAGUAUUAGAGGCACUGCCUGCCCAGUGACACACGUUCAACGGCCGCGGUAUCCUGACCGUGCAAAGGUAGCAUAAUCACUUGUUCUCUAAAUAAGGACUUGUAUGAAUGGCCACACGAGGGUUUUACUGUCUCUUUCUCCCAAUCAGUGAAAUUGACCUCCCCGUGAAGAGGCGGGGAUACAACAAUAAGACGAGAAGACCCUAUGGAGCUUUAAUUAACUAGCCUAAUAACAUAAUAACAAACCCCAAAAGGAAUAAAACACUGUAACACUAGGCUAACAAUUUAGGUUGGGGUGACCUCGGAGUAUAAAAGACCCUCCGAGCAAUUUCAAACUUAGACCUACUAGUCAAAGUCCAUUCACUCAAUUGAUCCAUACACCAAUGAUCAACGGAACAAGUUACCCUAGGGAUAACAGCGCAAUCCUAUUCAAGAGUCCCUAUCGACAAUAGGGUUUACGACCUCGAUGUUGGAUCAGGACAUCCUAAUGGUGCAGCAGCUAUUAAGGGUUCGUUUGUUCAACGAUUAAAGUCCUACGUGAUCUGAGUUCAGACCGGAGUAAUCCAGGUCGGUUUCUAUCUAUUUUACGUCUCUCCCAGUACGAAAGGACAAGAGAGACAGGGCCCCCUUAAAACAAGCGCCCUCUAACCAAACCAGAUGACUUAGUCUCAAUCUGCUAUGUAAUAAAUAAACAUGCCCAAGACCAGGGCCC